This is a non-coding RNA of Notechis scutatus (mainland tiger snake), 979 nucleotides long. Lineage: Eukaryota; Metazoa; Chordata; Lepidosauria; Squamata; Elapidae. The record is from RefSeq and is a predicted model, not a curated record.
CCCAUUUUACGAACUUUUUUGCCACGGUUGUAAGUCGAGGACGUCCUGUAAAAAAGGGGCCAUGCAAUGCAUCAGAAAGAUGCUGGAGUUUCAGCCGCUUGCAGGAAAAAGGAUGGAGCUGCUGUAAGGAUUUGCAAGCAGAUGCUUUAUAUCCUCUGAAGCAUCUUGAAGAAAUUUAAUGUGCACAGCCUUGGAGUCUCUUUAGAUGCUGCUAAAACUGUUGAUGGCCACACUAAACAUGGCACUUUCAUUCUCUGCAAGCUGCAAAACUGUUUCCCUUUAAAUUAAUUGGGAAAUAAUUUUAAUGUUUAAAUGUUUUUAAAGAAAUAUGGAACAAGACACAUUAGGGUAACAAGACAGUCUAUGCCUCUGGGCAUUAGAAACCCACUUUGUUUACUUUUGGAUGCGUAUAAAAUUCUAGAUUUUAAAAACAGAAUCCAUGGAAUGUUAAUGGAUUUGUUUUUAUUGAUAAUGACUGAAGCUGAAGCACCUAAAAUCAUUGGGAGUAUUACUUUUGGCUUUUUCCUUUCCCUAUUUUUUUUUCCUGAAACAGUUUUAUAUCUUCCCUGCUAGCUUUAAACACUCUUGUCAUUUGACAUCUUCUAUGUCUGACUCAGAAGGUGACUCACCUUUGCUGCCCUUGAUAAGUAAAGCUCAACUGGAGUCCAAAUUCCUCCGAAAAUACAUAGCUGAAACUUCUAUGACAGGGGAGCUAAGCUCUUCAAGGCUAAAUUUUCUUCUUUCUCACCCUUCAGUUGUGAACAGUUAAUCCCCAUUCCAUGCACUUUUAAGGUACCUGAUUUAUAUCCCGUUUGUUUCUCAUCAUUAAAAAAAAAAAAAAGUCAAUUUAUGUAGUCUCGCUCUGUAAAACAUUUACCUGUAAGACCUUCUAACUGAAAAACAAUAAGAGGCAAAACAACACAGAUUGUCUAUGGAGAUUCUCAUCAGAGGUGGUAUUCAGCAGGUUCUGACCAGUUCU